Molecule: ribosomal RNA, 467 nt
Filed under: uncultured bacterium
Lineage: Bacteria
Description: partial 16S ribosomal RNA
Rfam family: Bacterial small subunit ribosomal RNA
Source: RNAcentral
GACGAACGCUGGCGGCGUGCUUAACACAUGCAAGUCGAACGGAAAGGCCCUGCUUUUGUGGGGUGCUCGAGUGGCGAACGGGUGAGUAACACGUGAGUAACCUGCCCUUGACUUUGGGAUAACUUCAGGAAACUGGGGCUAAUACCGGAUAGGAGCUCCUGCUGCAUGGUGGGGGUUGGAAAGUUUCGGCGGUUGGGGACGGACUCGCGGCUUAUCAGCUUGUUGGUGGGGUAGUGGCUUACCAAGGCUUUGACGGGUAGCCGGCCUGAGAGGGUGACCGGCCACAUUGGGACUGAGAUACGGCCCAGACUCCUACGGGAGGCAGCAGUGGGGAAUAUUGCACAAUGGGCGGAAGCCUGAUGCAGCAACGCCGCGUGCGGGAUGACGGCCUUCGGGUUGUAAACCGCUUUCGCCUGUGACGAAGCGUGAGUGACGGUAAUGGGGAAAGAAGCACCGGCUAACUACGU